GAUUGUUCUACAAGCUACUAUACGGAAAUGACUUGUUCUAUUAGCUACCAAUAUAUGAUUAGCUUUUUGGCCAAGUUUCUAACCUACAAAUACAUCUAAAGUCAAAAUUGCAUCUAUGAAGCUUUUAGGAAGCUUUUCUAGAAGACUUUAUGAAAUUAUUCUAUUUUACCUACUUCUACUUAAUCAUAUAAAUAACUAUUGAAGUAAAUAUAUAUGUCCAUGUCACCAAAUCCUAAUCAAAUCCUAAAUAAAUCUUAAUCAAAUCUUAGAAAAAUUAUAAAUAAGCCUUUAUCAAAUCCUAGACAAAUCCCAAUCAAAUCCUAAUCGAGUCUUAAUCAAAUCCUAAACAAACUCUAACCAAAUCCUAAACAAAUCCUAAUCAAAUUUUAAUCAAAUUCUAAUAAAAUUCUAAACAAAUUCUAAUCAAAUCCUAAAUAAGUCCUAAUCAAAUCUUAGACAAAUCUUAGUCAAGCUUAAAUCAAACUAAAACCCUAAUCCUAACCCUAAACCAAAUCCUAAUCAAAUCCUAAUUAAUCUAAAGUAAUUCCUAUAUUAGAUUUAAACCUCAAUAAUUAAUGAAUGAACUAUUGAUUUUAAUUCAGAAAUUACACAUCUCUUAAUAAUUAAGUUGACAAAAAGUAAAAAUAAUUAAAAAAAGAUCCAAAUCACCAAAAAGAAGAUCAAUCCUAAAAACUGUUCAAGUAUUGGCCGCCGUCCUACUCAAAUCUAAAUGAUAAAGUUCCAAUGGCAAAAUUUCUCUUUCAAACUAUUCAAUUAUUUUAAAAUUAAUAUAUAUA
RNAcentral lists this long non-coding RNA (797 nucleotides) under Physcomitrium patens. RNAcentral describes it as "long non-coding RNA (PPAT_LNC000655)". The record is from RNAcentral. Lineage: Eukaryota; Viridiplantae; Streptophyta; Bryopsida; Funariales; Funariaceae.